This 1396-nucleotide ribosomal RNA is filed under the name metagenome. RNAcentral describes it as "bacterial LSU rRNA". It matches the Rfam family "Bacterial large subunit ribosomal RNA", at positions 1178 to 2585 of the family's 2925-position model. The record is from RNAcentral.
GGGCUUAAGCGUAUUACCGAAGCUUUGGCUGCUCGUACUCCUGCGGGAGUGCGGGCGGGGUAGGGGAGCGUUGAACGCUGGGAUGAAGGUAUACGGCAACGAAUACUGGACUGCGUUCAAGUGAUUAUGCAGGAAUGAGUAACGAUCAAACAGGUGAGAAUCCUGUUCGCCGUAAACCUAAGGUUUCCUCCGCUAGGUAAGUCCGCGGAGGGUUAGGCGGGACCUAAGACGAGGCCGAUAGGCGUAGUCGAUGGACAGCCGGUUCAUAUUCCGGCCCUUCUGACCAGGUGCCCACGGAGAACGCAGACGACUAACGAGGAGGGACGCCAAGUAGGCCCUCGUAUGUAUCGGGAUUACCCUUUUGAAAGAUUGGGUGCACUCUCGGUAUGUAUCAAACGCCUUGUGCGAUAUGAGCUCGUGAUGUCACGCUGUCGAGAAAAUCCCGUCGGGAGAUAACGUGGUUAGAAACCGUACUAAAACUGACACAGGUAGGUGAGGAGAGUAUCCUCAGGUGCGCGAGAGAACUCUGGUUAAGGAACUCGGCAAAUUCACUCCGUACGUUCGCAAGAAGGAGUGCCGGCGCAAGCCGGCCGCAGUGAAGAGGCCCAACCGACUGUUUACUAAAAACACAGUUCUGUGCUAACUCGAAAGAGGAUGUAUAGGGAAUGAUGCCUGCCCGGUGCUCGAAGGUUAAAGGGAGAGGUCAGCGCAAGCGAAGCUUCGAACCCAAGCCCGAGUAAACGGCGGCCGUAACUAUGACGGUCCUAAGGUAGCGAAAUUCCUUGUCGGGUAAGUUCCGACCUGCAUGAAAGGCAUAACGAGUUGGGCACUGUCUCAACCAGAGACUCGGUGAAAUUGCAAUAUGGGCGAAGAUACCCAUUACCCGCAGCAGGACGAAAAGACCCCGUGAACCUUUACUGCAACUUGAUACUGUGUUUCUGUGAUGCAUGCGUAGGAUAGGUGGGACGCUUUGAACUUCUGGUUCCGGCUAGAAGGGAGCGGUCGGUGAAAUACCACUCUUGCAUUAUGGGAAUUCUAACCUGGCCUUUGUACGGCUGGGGACACUGUCAGGUGGGCAGUUUGGCUGGGGCGGCUUCCUCCUAAAGAGUAACGGAGGAGCACAAAGGUCAGCUCAGUACGGUUGGCAAUCGUACGUGGAGUGCAAGAGCACAAGCUGGCUUAACUGCGAGACCCAUAAGUCGAGCAGAUGCGAAAGCAGGUUCUAGUGAUCCGGUGAUCCCUGAUGGACGGGUCAUCGCUCAACAGAUAAAAGGUACUCCGGGGAUAACAGGCUGAUUUCGCCCAAGAGUCCCUAUCGACGGCGAAGUUUGGCACCUCGAUGUCGGCUCAUCUCAUCCUGGGGCUGGAGAAGGUCCCAAGGGUAUGGCUGUUCGCC